GAUGAACGCUGGCGGCGUGCCUAAUACAUGCAAGUCGAGCGAACGGACGAGAAGCUUGCUUCUCUGAUGUUAGCGGCGGACGGGUGAGUAACACGUGGAUAACCUACCUAUAAGACUGGGAUAACUUCGGGAAACCGGCGCAAACCCCGGAUAAUAUUUUGAACCGCGUGGUUCAAAAGUGAAAGACGGUCUUGCUGUCUCUUAUAGCUGGAUACGAGCUGCAUGAGCUAGUUGGUAAGGUCAAGGGUUACCAAGGCAACGAGGCGUAGCCGACGUGAGAGGGGGAUCGGCCACACUGGAGCGGGAACGGGGUCCAGGCUCCUGCGGGAGGCAGCAGUAGGGUAUCGUCCGCAGCAGGCGAAAGCCUUACGGAGCGACGCCGCGUGAGUGAUGAAAGUCUUCGGAGCGUAAAGCUCUGUUAUGAGGGAAGAACAGAUGUGGAAGGAGCUGUGCAGAGCUUGACGGUACCUAAUCAGGAAGCCACGGCUAACUACGUG
Molecule: ribosomal RNA, 497 nt
Filed under: uncultured bacterium
Lineage: Bacteria
Description: partial 16S ribosomal RNA
Rfam family: Bacterial small subunit ribosomal RNA
Source: RNAcentral